CCUACGGGAGGCAGCAGUGGGGGAUAUUGCACAAUGGGGGAAACCCUGAUGCAGCGACGCCGCGUGGGCGAAGAAGUAUUUCGGUAUGUAAAGCCCUAUCAGCAGGGAAGAAGAAAUGACGGUACCUUAGUAAGAAGCACCGGCUAAAUACGUGCCAGCAGCCGCGGUAAUACGUAGGGUGCAAGCGUUAUCCGGAUUUACUGGGAGUAAAGGGAGCGCAGGCGGCACGGCAAGCCAGAUGUGAAAGCCCGCGGCCCAACCGCGGGACUGCAUUUGGAACUACCUGGCUAGAGUGCCGGAGAGGUAGGCGGAAUUCCUAGUGUAGCGGUGAAAUGCGUAGAUAUUAGGAGGAACACCAGUGGCGAAGGCGGCCUACUGGACGGUGACUGACGCUGAGGCUCGAAAGCGUGGGGAGCAAACAGGAUUAGAUACCCUGGUAGUG
Molecule: ribosomal RNA, 442 nt
Filed under: uncultured bacterium
Lineage: Bacteria
Description: partial 16S ribosomal RNA
Rfam family: Bacterial small subunit ribosomal RNA
Source: RNAcentral